This is a non-coding RNA of Mycena latifolia, 99 nucleotides long. The record is from the annotation of a GenBank genome assembly. NCBI's taxonomy places the organism in Eukaryota, Fungi, Basidiomycota, Agaricomycetes, Agaricales, Mycenaceae.
GCCGUCGUCGACCAGUGGAAGGUCAUCCUCGCAAGUUGUAUCUGAAUCCCACCUGUUCGACAUCCGAGGGAGCCAGGGGUUCGAUUCCCCUCGGCGGCA